Unclassified non-coding RNA from Saimiri boliviensis boliviensis (Bolivian squirrel monkey), 98 nucleotides. It matches the Rfam family "Y RNA". From Rfam's summary of the family: Y RNAs are components of the Ro ribonucleoprotein particle (Ro RNP), in association with Ro60 and La proteins. The Y RNAs and Ro60 and La proteins are well conserved, but the function of the Ro RNP is not known. In humans the RNA component can be one of four small RNAs -- hY1, hY3, hY4 and hY5. The record is from Ensembl. NCBI's taxonomy places the organism in Eukaryota, Metazoa, Chordata, Mammalia, Primates, Cebidae.
AGCUGGUCUGAUGCUAGUGGGUUACCAAUACUUAUCAAUAUUAAUGUCACUAAAAAGUUGCCAUACAAUCCAGCACUGCUAAAUCUGACUGAUUUUUU